AGCUCAGUUGGUAGAGCACGUGACUGAAAAUCACGGUGUCGGUGGUUCGAUUCCGCCC
Molecule: transfer RNA, 58 nt
Filed under: Hyphomicrobiaceae bacterium
Lineage: Bacteria; Pseudomonadati; Pseudomonadota; Alphaproteobacteria; Hyphomicrobiales; Hyphomicrobiaceae
Description: tRNA-Phe
Rfam family: tRNA
About the family: Transfer RNA (tRNA) molecules are approximately 80 nucleotides in length. Their secondary structure includes four short double-helical elements and three loops (D, anti-codon, and T loops).
Source: RNAcentral